AACGAACGCUGGCGGCAGGCCUAACACAUGCAAGUCGAGCGAGGACUUCGGUCCUAGCGGCGGACGGGUGAGUAACGCGUGGGAACGUGCCCUUUGCUUCGGAAUAGCCCUGGGAAACUGGGAGUAAUACCGGAUGAGCCCUUUGGGGGAAAGAUUUAUCGGCGAAGGAUCGGCCCGCGUUGGAUUAGGUAGUUGGUGGGGUAAUGGCCUACCAAGCCGACGAUCCAUAGCUGGUUUGAGAGGAUGAUCAGCCACACUGGGACUGAGACACGGCCCAGACUCCUACGGGAGGCAGCAGUGGGGAAUCUUAGACAAUGGGGGAAACCCUGAUCUAGCCAUGCCGCGUGAGCGAUGAAGGCCUUAGGGUUGUAAAGCUCUUUCAGCUGGGAAGAUAAUGACGGUACUAGCAGAAGAAGCCCCGGCUAACUCCGUG
RNAcentral lists this ribosomal RNA (433 nucleotides) under uncultured bacterium. Its description in RNAcentral is "partial 16S ribosomal RNA". It matches the Rfam family "Bacterial small subunit ribosomal RNA", at positions 29 to 507 of the family's 1533-position model. The record is from RNAcentral.